Molecule: long non-coding RNA, 907 nt
Organism: Manihot esculenta (cassava)
Lineage: Eukaryota; Viridiplantae; Streptophyta; Magnoliopsida; Malpighiales; Euphorbiaceae
Exons: 2
Source: RefSeq, a predicted model, not a curated record
GGACUCAUGGACCCCAAAAAACACACAUGAAUCCUGAAAUUCUAUGGUCUUAAGUGCUGCAAAUAAGUGAAAUGAUUUUCAUUUGAUUACUUCAACAAUAAAAACCGUCUUUGGAGAGGAAGGGAGAGAGACAGGGGAAAAGAGUUAAGUGUUUCCAGAUAGAUAUAGAAAGAAAGAAACUUCUCCCUUUUGCGAGAGGCGCAGGACGGCGGAGGCAAGAAGGGGGGUCUGUCUGUUGGUAGUUUGGCACCACCCACCAACUCAAGCUCGGGACAUGGUCACAUGUGAAGGUAAGCUAUGUCUAUCUCACUAGAUCCUUCACUUCUGCCUACAAACAAGGUAACAGCAAUAAAUUAAGCGUUGAAACUCAAAUUAAAUGUUAAUUGUUCUCCUUAAUCGCACUCUUUGAAGCAUGAUUCAUGAAUAGAGAAGUGCUAGCUGCACAAAGUUUAUUGAUAUACAACACACUAAACAAUAUACACCCCAGUUUCAAGUCCUGACAUUUUGCUAAUGGAGGAUGGAUAGCGUCAUCAGAGGAUGGUAUCAAGUACCCAUUUCCUCAUCUUCGCCGUCCACGUCGUCAUCUAUUUCAACAGGGUGGCUGAGGAGUGGACGAGCAAGCAGCACCAGCAUAAGCAUGACUAUCCGUGCUUGUAUGAAUUUGUUUAAUUUUAAUUUUUUAUAGUUGUUUUGUUAAAAAGCCAGGGAACAAGAUACUGUACUGGGUGUACUGGGUUCUUGCUGCUAGGGUUCAUCAGUGGGUUGUUUCCUCUCCUAUGUACUGGCUCGUGGAUGCUUCUUCUCUGCUGGUUCAUAUAUUUCAGUUGCAAGAAGGGGAAAGAAAAGGGCAAUUGAUCAUUCGGUUUUGUUUGCUCAUCCUUAUCGUUAAUUAUUAUAUUGAAAUUAA